ACAAUAUCCCACAAACACAGGUGGAAAAAAUGCUACUUAAAUAUGAUCCCCAAUUAGAGACCACGAUAGCUAGCUGCCUCUAAUUGGGAAUCAUACCAACCACCAACAUAGAAAAACUCAACUAGAACUCCACAUAGAAAAUAAUAACUAGAAACCCCCCCAGUCACGCCCUGACCAACUAUACCAGAGAAAAACAAAGGCUCUCUAUGGUCAGGGCGUGACAGAUAUGAGUGCUAGGCUAAAAAUGGGUAUUAUGUCUGAGCCAUGGACAUGCCAAACGUUGUCAAGAAGCAAUAUUUAAAUUCACUUUUUAUUCACUUGAAAAUAGAGUGAAUCAUUUGAAUCAAAUUCGAAUCAAAACCAAAGCACUUGUUUUUAAAAUCUGUCUAAAAACAGUCAGAGGCAGCAUAAUUGUUUUUAAAAGUCUGUCUAAAAACAGUCAGAGGGCAGCAUAAUUGUUUUUAAAAUCUGUCUAAAAACAGUCAGAGGCAGCAUAAUUGUUUUUAAAAGUCUGUCUAAAAACAGUCAGAGGCAGCAUAACUGUUCCCUGUGGGUGUAUAAUACUCAGCAAACGCAGACGGUGGAGGUUUUUACACAAUUACAAACAUUUUACACAAUCUGGAUGAAGAUCCAAUAUUAAGAGAAUGUCCACCAUCUUACUGUUCCCUAAUGGAAUGUUUUAGAAACAUCAUGGAUGGAACCAUCUUACUGUUCUCUAAUGGAUGGAACCAUCUUACUGUUCCCUAAUGGAAUGUUUUAGAAACAUCAUGGAUGGAAC
Oncorhynchus tshawytscha (Chinook salmon) is the source of this 778-nucleotide long non-coding RNA. The record is from Ensembl. Lineage: Eukaryota; Metazoa; Chordata; Actinopteri; Salmoniformes; Salmonidae.